UGCAAGAUAAAAGUGAAUUAAAAUGGGUC
This 29-nucleotide non-coding RNA is filed under the name Mus musculus (house mouse). The record is from RNAcentral. Lineage: Eukaryota; Metazoa; Chordata; Mammalia; Rodentia; Muridae.